Molecule: ribosomal RNA, 479 nt
Filed under: uncultured bacterium
Lineage: Bacteria
Description: bacterial SSU rRNA
Rfam family: Bacterial small subunit ribosomal RNA
Source: RNAcentral
ACACAUGCAAGUCGAGCGGAUGACAGGAACUUGCUCCUGAAUUCAGCGGCGGACGGGUGAGUAAUGCCUAGGAAUCUGCCUGGUAGUGGGGGACAACGUUUCGAAAGGAACGCUAAUACCGCAUACGUCCUACGGGAGAAAGCAGGGGACCUUCGGGCCUUGCGCUAUCAGAUGAGCCUAGGUCGGAUUAGCUAGUUGGUGAGGUAAUGGCUCACCAAGGCGACGAUCCGUAACUGGUCUGAGAGGAUGAUCAGUCACACUGGAACUGAGACACGGUCCAGACUCCUACGGGAGGCAGCAGUGGGGAAUAUUGGACAAUGGGCGAAAGCCUGAUCCAGCCAUGCCGCGUGUGUGAAGAAGGUCUUCGGAUUGUAAAGCACUUUAAGUUGGGAGGAAGGGUUGUAGAUUAAUACUCUGCGAUUUUGACGUUACCGACGGAAUAGGGCAGCGGCUAACUCUGUGCCAGCAGCCGCGGUAAU